Non-coding RNA from Arvicanthis niloticus (Nile rat), 541 nucleotides. The record is from RefSeq and is a predicted model, not a curated record. Lineage: Eukaryota; Metazoa; Chordata; Mammalia; Rodentia; Muridae.
GUUGCUUGGUUACGGCUUUCUGGGUGCAAUUCGCGCGGCUAAAGCAGAUGCCUUUCCUGGUGCUAGCAGGAGCGCUCACACACCCCCACUCCUCUACCCCCUCCAACCGUUGCUAGAGGGGAGGACCCAGAGCCUGGAGGCCAGGUCCUUUAACCUUCCUUACGACUCCUCCCGGCAGGGCUCGGCCUAAAGCUCAAGGCGGAGCGCUGGACUUCUUAGACUAGGGAUGUCAGCAAGUUUGUCGGAGCAGAGACGCUCCAGAAAAGGAAUGGAGCUGACACCAUAUCCACAUCCCCCUAAGAGGACUGCAUCAACUCUUCUGGACACUGUCUUCCCACCUUGAUGCCCUGUGCUGUACAGCUUCUGAGAAUGACACACAGGGAACUUCACCCUGACCAGGAAAAUCAAGGCUCUGAGAACUAGUUUAUUUUCUUGGAACAGAUAUGUUUUUCCCUAGUGCCAUAGAAAACAAUACAUAUAAAUAAAAAGGCAGUGUUUCUGUGGAAAAUAAAAGUACAUAAAUAAAUACUAAAAAAAAAAA